ACGCUUGAUCUGAGCCGUAAGAGGACGGCUCAGAUCAAGUGUAGUACCUGUUCUUAUCAGUGUAACGGCUGAUACUAUCUCCACGGGAGAAUACUGUUUUUUCUCUGCUGUUACAGUCCCGGCACCCCCC
RNAcentral lists this small nuclear RNA (130 nucleotides) under Pelusios castaneus (West African mud turtle). RNAcentral's name for it is "U2 spliceosomal RNA (ENSPCEG00000009817.1)". It matches the Rfam family "U2 spliceosomal RNA". Rfam says of the family: U2 is a small nuclear RNA (snRNA) component of the spliceosome (involved in pre-mRNA splicing). Complementary binding between U2 snRNA (in an area lying towards the 5' end but 3' to hairpin I) and the branchpoint sequence (BPS) of the intron results the bulging out of an unpaired adenosine, on the BPS, which initiates a nucleophilic attack at the intronic 5' splice site, thus starting the first of two transesterification reactions that mediate splicing. The record is from Rfam by way of RNAcentral. Lineage: Eukaryota; Metazoa; Chordata; Testudines; Pelomedusidae.